CUAUCAGUCAUCAUCUGUCGUCACUUUCAUCUCUGUCUACGCGAAGCAGUCCCGACUCACCAGAAACCAAACUUUGAGAGAAGACUAAAGAGAGAAAGAGAGAUGAGGUUGUUUGAUCCGUGGCCAGUGUUCUUCAAGAGGGAAUGGAAACGUUGUUGGCCGUUUCUCACUGGAUUCGCCGUCACCGGCGUCCUCAUCACCAAGCUCACGGCUGGAUUCACUGAGGAAGACGCCAAGAACUCCAAGUUUGUCCAACAACACAGGCGGUGAUCUACUGUCGCGAAUUGUUAGAGGCUGAGGAGGCCAAGUGUUCUGAUGGAAACUACUGUGAGUGCCUCGGCUUUCAAACCUGUUCGAAUAACAUGAAAAGAGAGAAUUGUAGACACUGUCAAUUUCUCGUUUCCUUUUCUCUUCUGUUUUCACAACUCUUGAACAGUGCAAAUUCUACUUUGUUGAUCCGAUUAUUUCCUAUAUGUUUGAUAUGGAUCUCAUCUUCUCAUUUUGUUCCCCCAAUAAGAGUAUAUAUGGUUAAGUAAACCUCCAGUUGAAUGAUCGAA
This is a non-coding RNA of Camelina sativa (false flax), 557 nucleotides long. Lineage: Eukaryota; Viridiplantae; Streptophyta; Magnoliopsida; Brassicales; Brassicaceae. The record is from RefSeq and is a predicted model, not a curated record.